CGUGCAGCAGCGAGGCGGCCCGACGUCAAGCAGCAACAACACAGUAACGGGCAGCAGCGACAAUGCAACAGCUAGCGGCUGACAGUGGGGCCCACACGUCCUGUAAACAAUUUAAAAAAAACAGAAAAUAAAAAUGGGAAGAAGGCCACGGUCCUAGGCUUGGACCUGGCUUGGGCUUGGAGACGGGCCAGAGAGCGCUCGGCUG
Molecule: long non-coding RNA, 205 nt
Filed under: Brachypodium distachyon (stiff brome)
Lineage: Eukaryota; Viridiplantae; Streptophyta; Magnoliopsida; Poales; Poaceae
Description: long non-coding RNA (BDIS_LNC003317)
Source: RNAcentral